Molecule: long non-coding RNA, 1056 nt
Organism: Vigna angularis (adzuki bean)
Lineage: Eukaryota; Viridiplantae; Streptophyta; Magnoliopsida; Fabales; Fabaceae
Exons: 4
Source: RefSeq, a predicted model, not a curated record
UUUUAGAAACCAGUUGUAAUAUCCCAAUCUGAUUUUCACUUUUUCCCCCUAAUUUCUCUUCCCUCUCUUCCUCGCUUUCGUUCCCCGUAAUACACCACUACCAUUCUUCCUCUCUUCUUCACUCUACAUCAUCCGCUGUUCACUCAACCAUUCACUCAACCAUUCACUCUCCAUCAGUCGUUCAUUCGCUGCCUUACGAGAGCGUUUCUCUCGUCUCCAUUAUCGAAAGGCUCUCGUUGCCUCUCCAUCAUCGAAGGCUCUUGCUGCCUCUCCAUCAUCGAAGGCUCUUGCUGCCUCUCCAUCAUCGAAGGCUCUUGCUGCCUCUCCAUCAUCUCGUUGAACCACAGUUCAAGCAUGUUUGUCUAGGUAGGCUUUGAGAUGAUUGAUGCAAUUGCUGAGUCGUAGGGGAUUCCUAUGAACACUGCCCAUUCCAAAGCCAUUUUCGGAAAAGGGAUAGGAAAAUCUCGAAAUUGACAAUGACUGCUAAAGGAAUACCAGUAUUUUCGGCAGUUUAAGCUCUGACAGAGUGGAUGGUGUUUAGCUCCCUUAGAUUCUUGGGAGGCUUUGCAGUUGCCCUGAUUGAUGAUCCUCUGUGGGUCAUGAACACUGUCCCUAUUGAGGCCGAGUUCAACACCCUCGGUGUCAUAUAUGAACGUGGAUUGAUUGGAACCUACCAAAACUGGUUUAUGGCUGAUCCAUCUACACCUACACGACCACAAAGUGAGGACCAAAGUCAAUCGUCUACCCAACCCAAGUGUAGACGAGCGACUAGGCUAAAAGACUUGACUGUUAGUCGUAAUGCUGAUCAGAAAUUGCCCAUUCAAUUUGAUGAGUACAGGAAAAGUUAUUGGAGACAACCGUGCAAGAUUCACUAGCUUUGUGGCCUUACUUGGUAGAAGUAUUGUUAGUAUUCUUACUUGGUAGAAACUUGGCUACACUUAAAUAGUAUAUGUACAUUAAUGUAAUAUUUGGAUUUAAUAUAUAGUUUCAUGUAUAAAUGAUGUAUUAAAUAUUAGACUAUUUAACUUUUGAAAUGAAUUCUAUUUUGUUAGUUUC